RNAcentral lists this ribosomal RNA (586 nucleotides) under Cautires griseus. RNAcentral's name for it is "partial 16S ribosomal RNA". It matches the Rfam family "Bacterial large subunit ribosomal RNA", at positions 1845 to 2715 of the family's 2925-position model. The record is from RNAcentral. Lineage: Eukaryota; Metazoa; Arthropoda; Insecta; Coleoptera; Lycidae.
AUUUAAAGUUUAACCUGCUCAAUGAAAUUUAAAUGGCCGCAGUAUUUUGACUGUGCAAAGGUAGCAUAAUAAUUAGUUUCUUAAUUAGGAACUAGAAUGAAUGGUUGGACAAGAGAGUUACUGUCUUUUUUUAAAAUAUUUUUGAAUUUUAUUUUUAAGUGAAAAAGCUUAAAUUUUUAUAAAAGACGAGAAGACCCUAUAGAGUUUAAUAUUUUUUUUUAAUAAAAUAAUAGAAUAUAAAUUUAUAAUUAAAUAUUUAAUUGGGGUGAUUAAGAGAAAUGAAUAAUUCUUUUAAGUUUUAAUUGAUAAUUUUCAAUAUAAGAAUCUAUUAAUAGUAAAUUUAAGAUAAAUUACCUUAGGGAUAACAGCGUAAUUUUUUUUAAAAGUUCUUAUAUAAAAUAAAGUUUGCGACCUCGAUGUUGGAUUAAAAUUAAUUUUUGGUGCAGUAACUUAAAAAUUAGGUCUGUUCGACCUUUAAAAUUUUACAUGAUCUGAGUUUAAACCGGCGUAAGCCAGGUUGGAUUCUAUCUUUAGAAUAUUACUAUAUUUUAGUACGAGAGGACCAAAUAUGGAUUAUAUUAAUUAU